RNAcentral lists this transfer RNA (55 nucleotides) under Globodera ellingtonae. RNAcentral's name for it is "tRNA-Pro". The record is from RNAcentral. Lineage: Eukaryota; Metazoa; Nematoda; Chromadorea; Rhabditida; Heteroderidae.
UUUGACAUAUUUUAUUAAGAAUUUAUUUUUUGGGUAAAUAAGGAGUUAGUCAAAU